Molecule: long non-coding RNA, 430 nt
Filed under: Zea mays
Lineage: Eukaryota; Viridiplantae; Streptophyta; Magnoliopsida; Poales; Poaceae
Description: long non-coding RNA (ZMAY_LNC003388)
Source: RNAcentral
UGUGUGGUUCUCCAAGUAAACCGCAGAUUGAGACAACCAAUCCUAAUCAAGGUGAUGUGGGAGAAGAAAGUAGAGCUGGAAGGUCUCCAGCCUUGUCGCAGCCAGCUUUUACUGAUCCGUUGGGAUCUGAAAAAGGGUCACAUUCACCUUCUGUAGUACAUGAUCGUAAUGAGCAUCAGAAAACACAAGGAGAUGAUACUCUUAAAGAUGAGAUAUUACUUCAUAAGAGAAAAGCAGUUGCCUUUAAGAGAGAAGGGAAGAUGGCAGAAGCUAGAGAAGAAUUGAAACUGGCAAAACAAUUAGAAAAGCACCUUGAAGGUGCUCAACAAGACACCAUGGAUGGUGUGGGUGACUCCAUUACUCCUGCUGUGGAACAGAACAGUUUGGUCCAACAACCUGCUAGCUCCAGCAAUCACACUGACGACAUAAC